This 1279-nucleotide long non-coding RNA is filed under the name Junco hyemalis (dark-eyed junco). Its description in RNAcentral is "lncRNA (ENSJHYG00000008636.1)". The record is from RNAcentral. Lineage: Eukaryota; Metazoa; Chordata; Aves; Passeriformes; Passerellidae.
UGACCUGGAGCAGGAGGAGGUUGAAGAUUUCCUGGCCGAGGUGAUGGACAACGAGUUCGACACGGUGGUGGAGGACGGCAGCCUGCAGCAGGUGGGCUCCCAGUAUGGACCAGUAUGGACCAGUAUGGAGCAGAGAGCUCCCAACAGCUGGCCAGCCUCCCCCAGGCGCUCCCAGUACAGCCCAGUUUGUCCUCGGGCUGCUCUCAGCAUCUUCUAGUGGCCUUUGUCUCUUCCUGGUACCGUUGGUCCCUUCCAAGUUCUCCCAGUAGCUCCCAGUAUAAACCAGUAUGGACAAGGAUGUUCCCAGCAGCCACUCCCAGUUCAUCCCAUUGCAUCCCCAGGCUGUUCUCACCAUCCUUUGGUGCUCCCAGCGCCUCCCAGUAUAGACCAGUCUGUUCUCAGGGCUCUUUUACUUCCUCCCAGUACAUCCCAGUCCCACACAUCGCCCCUCAGCACCCCCAGUCCCUCCCAGUGCCCUCCCCAGUGGUUCCCAGUCCAUCCCAGUCCCCUCCCUGGUGGUUCCCAGUCCUUCCCAGUGAUCCCCAGUCCAUCCCAGUCCCCUCCCCAGUGAUCCCCAGUCCAUCCCAGUCCCCUCCCCAGUGGUUCCCAGUCCAUCCCAGUCCCCUCCCCAGUGGUUCCCAGUCCCCUCCCUGGUGGUUCCCAGUCCCUCCCCAGUGGUUCCCAGUCCAUCCCAGUGCCCUCCCAGUGGUUCCCAGUCCAUCCCAGUGCCCUCCCAGUGGUUCCCAGUCCCUCCCAGUGGUUCCCAGUCCAUCCCAGUGUCCCCCUGCAGGUGAGCCGAGAGCUGGUGACCCUUUUUGCCCGGAACCCCCCGGAGAGAGGGGAGGAGGAGGAAGAGGAGGAGAGCGGCGAGGAAGAGGAGGAGGUGAGGGGGUGACUUCAUUGGGAUGAUGUCAUGGGCAGCUGAUGAUGUCAUUGCUGGGGGGGCAUUGGAGUGGGAGGGAGCUGGUGAUGUCAUCAAAGCGGGUGGGGAUGUGGUGAUGACAUCAUGGGGUGACACUGAUGAUGUAAUCAAAUGGGGGUGUAGACUCCCUGGGAAGCUCAAGUGAGGGGAGCUGGAGGCUCCAGUGAUGAUGUCAUACGAUGAUGAUGUCAUCAGAGCAGGUGGGGAUGUGGUGAUGACAUCAUGGGGUGUAACUGCAGAGCAAUACUGAUGAUGUAAUUAAAUUGGGGAGUGGAGACUUCCCAGGACCCCCAAGUGAGGAGGGACUAGGGGGUGAUGAUGUCAUUCCUGAUGAUGUCAUUCAGUCCUGAUGAUGUG